GCAUGAAGGACUAGCCAGGGAGGGAGGGUUGCAUGUUGUAUAUAUUAAAAUGUGUAGGCCUUUAAUGUCACAUGACAGGAUUGCUGGGAGGGCCUGAUUGAUUUCAUUUUCCUGAUGGAGUGUUUAUUUUUCAAAAAUCUGAGCAACACCAGUGAGGGUGAACACUGACUUGCUCAACAUUUGCUUAUAGAGAUUUUCUACCUCUUCGUUACAACAUGAGUCCCUUACAUCUGCUUUACCUUCGCCUCUUCCCAUUUUUUCCACUGUGUCCAGUUCCCGCUGUCCUUGCUGCCAUUUAACACACAAAGAAACUGAGUAUCUUUAAAAAAAGAAGUUGCUUUGGCAGACUUUAUUGACCCCCUCCCUGCAAAGAAAAAUAGUUACAGCAUGAGACAGUCCCCAGGAGAAGAGAGAGCAGAAUUCAGAGGACGACAUUUAUCCUGGACUAUUUGGGUGUUUAUUUUUUAACAAUUCUUGUGAGAAGAAUGCCGAUUUUUUUUCUGCCAGCUUGCAA
Molecule: long non-coding RNA, 514 nt
Filed under: Chrysemys picta bellii (western painted turtle)
Lineage: Eukaryota; Metazoa; Chordata; Testudines; Emydidae
Description: lncRNA (ENSCPBG00000012965.1)
Source: RNAcentral